GCGGUGCCCGGGGCAUCUCCGCGGCGGAACUCAGGGAAGGAGCUAGCUGGGGCGGGGGUGAUGAUCCAGGCUGGGUUCCAGCAUAGGGCUCUUGGUGGGCACGCUGGGGUCGGGUGGAGUGCAGGAGAGAGAGGAGGUGGGACAGGUGGGUACCUGGGCUGGAGGCAGGGCCUGAGGUGGGCAGGUGCAGAGGGCUGCACUUCUCGGCUGAAGCCAGGAAUGAGGACCCCGCUCUCGGGUGGGAUUGGAGGGGACCCGCGGCUGAGGCGCAGGGCUGCGACAGGGACAUCACCGUUCUCCUCCUCAGGGAGAUGGUGCUCGUCGUGCACGGCUUCCCGUCCUCCGUGGCCGCCCUUCGGUUUGAGUGGGCUUGGCAGCACCCGCACGCCUCGCGCCGCCUGGCGCACGUGGGGCCUCGCCUGCGAGGAGAGACAGCCUUCGCUUUCCACCUGCGCGUGCUGGCGCACAUGCUGCGCGCACCGCCCUGGGCUCGCCUCCCGCUCACGCUGCGCUGGGUGCGCCCAGACCUCCGCCAGGACCUCUGCCUCCCGCCGCCGCCGCACGUGCCUCUGGCCUUCGGGCCUCCACCGCCCCAGGCCCCGGCCCCAAGGCGCCGCGCAGGUCCCUUUGAUGACGCGGAGACUGAGCCAGACCAGGGGGAUCCAGGGGCCUGCUGCUCCCUGUGCGCCCAGACCAUCCAGGAUGAAGAGGGGCCCUUGUGUUGCCCCCACCCUGGCUGCCUGCUAAGGGCCCAUGUGAUCUGCCUGGCAGAGGAGUUUCUUCAGGAAGAACCAGGGCAGCUUCUGCCCCUAGAGGGCCAAUGCCCUUGCUGUGAGAAGUCACUGCUUUGGGGAGACCUGAUCUGGCUGUGCCAGAUGGACACUGAGAAAGAAGUAGAAGACUCAGAAUUAGAAGAGGAACAUGGAGCUGAUCCAGGACACCUCCCGCCCGCCACUGGAGUACGUGAAGGGGGUCCCGCUCAUCAAGUACUUUGCAGAGGCGCUGGGGCCCCUGCAAAGCUUCCAGGCCCGGCCUGAUGACCUGCUCAUCAGCACCUACCCCAAGUCUGGCACCACCUGGGUGAGCCAGAUACUGGACAUGAUCUACCAGGGCGGCGAUCUAGAGAAGUGUAACCGGGCUCCCAUCUACAUGCGGGUGCCCUUCCUUGAGGUCAAUGAUCCAGGGGAACCCUCAGGGAUGGAGACUCUGAAAGACACACCGCCCCCACGGCUCAUCAAGUCACACCUGCCCCUGGCUCUGCUCCCUCAGACUCUGUUGGAUCAGAAGGUCAAGGUGGUCUAUGUUGCCCGAAACCCAAAGGACGUGGCGGUCUCCUACUACCAUUUCCACCGUAUGGAAAAGGCGCACCCUGAGCCUGGGACCUGGGACAGCUUCCUGGAAAAGUUCAUGGCUGGAGAAGUGUCCUACGGGUCCUGGUACCAGCACGUGCAGGAGUGGUGGGAGCUGAGCCGCACCCACCCUGUUCUCUACCUCUUCUAUGAAGACAUGAAGGAGAACCCCAAAAGGGAGAUUCAAAAGAUCCUGGAGUUUGUGGGGCGCUCCCUGCCAGAGGAGACCGUGGACUUCAUGGUUCAGCACACGUCGUUCAAGGAGAUGAAGAAGAACCCUAUGACCAACUACACCACCGUCCCCCAGGAGCUCAUGGACCACAGCAUCUCCCCCUUCAUGAGGAAAGGCAUGGCUGGGGACUGGAAGACCACCUUCACCGUGGCGCAGAAUGAGCGCUUCGAUGCGGACUAUGCGGAGAAGAUGGCAGGCUGCAGCCUCAGCUUCCGCUCUGAGCUGUGAGAGGGGCUCCUGGAGUCACUGCAGAGGGAGUGUGCGAAUCUACCCUGACCAAUGGGCUCAAGAAUAAAGUAUGAUUUUUGAGUCAGGCACAGUGGCUCAUGUCUGCAAUCCCAGCGAUUUGGGAGGUUGAGCUGGUAGGAUCACAAUAGGCCACGAAUUUGAGACCAGCCUGGUAAAAUAGUGAGACCUCAUCUCUACAAAGAUGUAAAAAAAUUAGCCACAUGUGCUGGCACUUACCUGUAGUCCCAGCUACUUGGGAAGCAGAGGCUGGAGGAUCAUUUCAGCCCAGGAGGUUGUGGAUACAGUGAGUUAUGACAUGCCCAUUCACUACAGCCUGGAUGACAAGCAAGACCCUCCCUCCAAAGAAAAUAAAGCUCAAUUAAAAU
This 2195-nucleotide small RNA is filed under the name Pan troglodytes (chimpanzee). Its description in RNAcentral is "processed transcript". The record is from RNAcentral. Lineage: Eukaryota; Metazoa; Chordata; Mammalia; Primates; Hominidae.